Molecule: ribosomal RNA, 540 nt
Filed under: uncultured archaeon
Lineage: Archaea
Description: bacterial SSU rRNA
Rfam family: Archaeal small subunit ribosomal RNA
Source: RNAcentral
AGCAGCCGCGGUAACACCGGCGGCCGAGUGGUGAUCGUGAUUAUUGGGUCUAAAGGGUCCGUAGCCGGUUUGGUCAGUCCUCCGGGAAAUCUGAUAGCUCAACGUAUUAGGCUUUCGGGGGAUACUGCCAGACUUGGAACCGGGAGAGGUAAGAGGUACUACAGGGGUAGGAGUGAAAUCUUGUAAUCCCUGUGGGACCACCUGUGGCGAAGGCGUCUUACCAGAACGGGUUCGACGGUGAGGGACGAAAGCUGGGGGGCACGAACCGGAUUAGAUACCCGGGUAGUCCCAGCCGUAAACGAUGCUCGCUAGGUGUCAGGCAUGGCGCGACCGUGCCUGAUGCCGCAGGGAAGCCGUGAAGCGAGCCACCUGGGAAGUACGGCCGCAAGGCUGAAACUUAAAGGAAUUGGCGGGGGAGCACAACAACGGGUGGAGCCCUGCGGUUUAAUUGGACUCAACGCCGGACAACUCACCGGGGGCGACAGCAAUAUGUAGGCCAAGCUGAAGACUUUGCCUGAAUCGCUGAGAAGUGGUGCAUGG